Molecule: ribosomal RNA, 458 nt
Filed under: uncultured bacterium
Lineage: Bacteria
Description: partial 16S ribosomal RNA
Rfam family: Bacterial small subunit ribosomal RNA
Source: RNAcentral
GAUGAACGCUGGCGGCGUGCCUAAUACAUGCAAGUCGAGCGGUAAGGCCACUUCGGUGGUACACGAGCGGCGGACGGCUGAGUAACACGUAGGAACGUACCCCAAACUGAGGGAUAAGCACCGGAAACGGUGUCUAAUACCGCAUGUGCUCUUCGGAGUAAAGCUACGGCGGUUUGGGAACGGCCUGCGCAUGAUUAGCUAGUUGGUGAGGUAAUGGCUCACCAAGGCGACGAGCAUUAGCUGGUCUGAGAGGAUGAUCAGCCAGACUGGGACUGAGAACGGCCCAGACUCCUACGGGAGGCAGCAGUAGGGAAUUUUCCACAAUGGGGGCAACCCUGAUGGAGCAACGCCGCGUGCAGGAUGAAGGCUUUCGGGUCGUAAACUGCUUUUAUCUGUGAAGAUUAUGACGGUAGCAGAUGAAUAAGGAUCGGCUAACUCCGUGCCAGCAGCCGCCGUAA